Molecule: ribosomal RNA, 483 nt
Filed under: uncultured bacterium
Lineage: Bacteria
Description: partial 16S ribosomal RNA
Rfam family: Bacterial small subunit ribosomal RNA
Source: RNAcentral
UUGCACGCUGGCGGCAUGCUUUACACAUGCAGGUCGAACGGCAGCGCGGGCUUCGGCCUGGCGGCGAGUGGCGAACGGGUGAGUAAUGCAUCGGAACGUGCCCAGUAGUGGGGGAUAGCCCGGCGAAAGCCGGAUUAAUACCGCAUACGACCUGAGGGUGAAAGCGGGGGACCGAAAGGCCUCGCGCUAUUGGAGCGGCCGAUGUCGGAUUAGCUAGUUGGUGGGGUAAAGGCUUACCAAGGCGACGAUCCGUAGCUGGUCUGAGAGGACGACCAGCCACACUGGGACUGAGACACGGCCCAGACUCCUACGGGAGGCAGCAGUGGGGAAUUUUGGACAAUGGGGGCAACCCUGAUCCAGCCAUGCCGCGUGCGGGAAGAAGGCCUUCGGGUUGUAAACCGCUUUUGUUCGGGAAGAAAUCCUCUGGGCUAAUACCCCGGGGGGAUGACGGUACCGGAAGAAUAAGCACCGGCUAACUACGUG